This 66-nucleotide transfer RNA is filed under the name Eurrhacini sp. UPOL A00623. RNAcentral describes it as "tRNA-Phe". The record is from RNAcentral. RNAcentral also lists the same sequence under 1 other name. Lineage: Eukaryota; Metazoa; Arthropoda; Insecta; Coleoptera; Lycidae.
UUUUAAUAGCUUAAUUUUAAGAGUAUAAUAUUGAAGAUAUUAAGGUAGUAGAUUACUUUGAAAUAU